RNAcentral lists this ribosomal RNA (947 nucleotides) under uncultured Actinomycetes bacterium. RNAcentral's name for it is "bacterial SSU rRNA". It matches the Rfam family "Bacterial small subunit ribosomal RNA", at positions 546 to 1491 of the family's 1533-position model. The record is from RNAcentral. Lineage: Bacteria; Bacillati; Actinomycetota; Actinomycetes.
CGGAAUCAUUGGGCGUAAAGCGCGUGUAGGCGGCUCGGUAAGUCCGUUUGAAAGCCCGGGGCUCAACCCCGGGAGGCGGGCGGAUACUGCUGAGCUCGAGUCCGGAAGAGGCGAGCGGAAUUCCUGGUGUAGCGGUGAAAUGCGCAGAUAUCAGGAGGAACACCAAUGGCGAAGGCAGCUCGCUGGGACGGUACUGACGCUGAGACGCGAAAGCGUGGGGAGCGAACAGGAUUAGAUACCCUGGUAGUCCACGCCGUAAACGAUGGACACUAGGUGUGGGAGGUGUCGACUCCUUCCGUGCCGAAGCUAACGCAUUAAGUGUCCUGCCUGGGGAGUACGGCCGCAAGGCUAAAACUCAGAGGAAUUGACGGGGGCCCGCACAAGCAGCGGAGCAUAUGGUUUAAUUCGACGCAACGCGAAGAACCUUACCUGGGCUUGACAUGUUCCUGACCGCCACGGAAACGUGGCUUCCCUUCGGGGCAGGAUCACAGGUGGUGCAUGGCUGUCGUCAGCUCGUGUCGUGAGAUGUUGGGUUAAGUCCCGCAACGAGCGCAACCCCCGUCGUAUGUUGCCAGCAUUAAGUUGGGGACUCAUACGAGACUGCCGGUGACAAACCGGAGGAAGGUGGGGAUGACGUCAAGUCAUCAUGCCCCUUAUGUCCAGGGCUACACACGUGCUACAUUGGCGCGUACAGAGGGCUGCGAUACCGCGAGGUGGAGCGAAUCCCUCAAAGCGCGUCUCGGUUCGGAUUGCAGGCUGAAACCCGCCUGCAUGAAGGUGGAGUUGCUAGUAAUCGCGGAUCAGCAUUGCCGCGGUGAAUACGUUCCCGGGCCUUGUACACACCGCCCGUCACACCACGGGAGUGAGCAACACCCGAAGCCGGUGGCCCAACCCUUUUGGGAGGGAGCCGUCGAAGGUGGGGCCUCGGGACUGGGGNANUNUGGNAA